RNAcentral lists this ribosomal RNA (253 nucleotides) under uncultured bacterium. RNAcentral describes it as "partial 16S ribosomal RNA". It matches the Rfam family "Bacterial small subunit ribosomal RNA", at positions 524 to 776 of the family's 1533-position model. The record is from RNAcentral.
UACGGGGGAGCAAGCGUUGUUCGGAUUUACUGGGUGUAAAGGGCGCGUAGGCGGCCAGCACAAGUCAGUUGUGAAAUCUCCGAGCUUAACUCGGAAAGGUCAACUGAUACUGUGCGGCUAGAGUGCGGAAGGGGCAACUGGAAUUCUUGGUGUAGCGGUGAAAUGCAUAGAUAUCAAGAGGAACACCUGCGGCGAAGGCGGGUUGCUGGGCCGACACUGACGCUGAGGCGCGAAAGCCAGGGGAGCGAACGGG